CCUACGGGAGGCAGCAGUGGGGAAUCUUGCACAAUGGGGGAAACCCUGAUGCAGCGACGCCGCGUGAGCGAUGAAGUAUUUCGGUAUGUAAAGCUCUAUCAGCAGGGAAGAAAAUGACGGUACCUGGCUAAGAAGCCCCGGCUAAAUAUGUUCCAGCAGCCGCGGUAAUACGUAGGGGGCAAGCGUUACCCGGAUUGACUGGUUGAAAAGGGUGCGUAGACGGCUUGGCAAGCCAGAUGUGAAAGGCUGGGGCUCAAACCCAGGACUGCAUUUGGAACUGUCAUGCUAGAGUGCCGGAGGGGCAGGCGGAAUUCCGAGUGUAGCGGUGAAAUGCGUAGAUAUUAGGAGGAACACCAGUGGCGAAGGCGGCCUGCUGGACUAUGACUGACGUUGAGGCUCGAAAGCGUGGGGAGCAAACAGGAUUAGAUACCCGAGUAGUC
Molecule: ribosomal RNA, 440 nt
Filed under: uncultured bacterium
Lineage: Bacteria
Description: partial 16S ribosomal RNA
Rfam family: Bacterial small subunit ribosomal RNA
Source: RNAcentral